RNAcentral lists this ribosomal RNA (475 nucleotides) under Hemigymnus fasciatus. Its description in RNAcentral is "partial small subunit ribosomal RNA". It matches the Rfam family "Bacterial small subunit ribosomal RNA", at positions 788 to 1491 of the family's 1533-position model. Lineage: Eukaryota; Metazoa; Chordata; Actinopteri; Labriformes; Labridae. The record is from RNAcentral.
CACUAUGCCUAGCCCUAAACAUUGAUAAUAACCUACUUAUUUUAUCCGCCCGGGUACUACGAGCGUCAGCUUGAAACCCAAAGGACUUGGCGGUGCUUUAGAUCCACCUAGAGGAGCCUGUUCUAGAACCGAUAAUCCCCGUUAAACCUCACCUUUCCUUGUCAUUUCCGCCUAUAUACCGCCGUCGUCAGCUUACUCUGUGAAGAACCCGUAGUAAGCAUAACCGGUACAGCCUAAAACGCCAGGUCGAGGUGUAGCGAAUGGAAAGGGAAGAAAUGGGCUACAUUCAAUAUUUAAUAAUGAACACGAAUGAUAUUAUGAAAAAAAUAUCUGAAGGAGGAUUUAGCAGUAAGUAGAGAAUAGAGCGCUCUACUGAAACUGGCCCUGAAGCGCGUACACACCGCCCGUCACUCUCCCCGAGCUAACCAAAACCAUUACUAAUACACAAAAACUGCAAAGGGGAGGCAAGUCGUAA